AGGACUAACGCUGGCGGCGUGCCUAACACAUGCAAGUCGAACGAGGUAGCAAUACCUAGUGGCAGACGGGUGAGUAACGCGUGGUCAACCUACCUCUUAGUGGGGGAUAACUAGCCGAAAGGUUAGCUAAUACCACAUACGAUCGUCGCGAGGCAUCUCGUGACGAUGAAAGGAGCAAUUCGCUAAGAGAGGGGACUGCGUCCCAUUAGUUAGUUGGUGGGGUAAUGGCCUACCAAGACUCCGAUGGGUAGCUGGCUUGAGAGAGCGACCAGCCACACUGGAACUGAGACACGGUCCAGACUCCUACGGGAGGCAGCAGUGAGGAAUUUUCCGCAAUGGGCGCAAGCCUGACGGAGCGACGCCGCGUGUGGGAAGAAGGGCCUUCGGGUCGUAAACCACUGUCGAAGGGGACGAUAUUGACGGUACCCUUGGAGGAAGCCCCGGCUAACUACGCGCCAGCAGCCGC
Molecule: ribosomal RNA, 466 nt
Filed under: uncultured bacterium
Lineage: Bacteria
Description: SSU rRNA
Rfam family: Bacterial small subunit ribosomal RNA
Source: RNAcentral